Long non-coding RNA from Leptopilina boulardi, 3157 nucleotides. RefSeq lists it as uncharacterized. The record is from RefSeq and is a predicted model, not a curated record. NCBI's taxonomy places the organism in Eukaryota, Metazoa, Arthropoda, Insecta, Hymenoptera, Figitidae. The transcript has 3 exons.
UAAGAAAUUAAAGUAAAAAUUUUUUUUAUAUUUAAUAAUUAAUUGAACUUUGUCAUUUUAUUUUAGAAAGGCAUAAUAUUUGCUUAUAGAAAGUUCUGGUAUAUAUCUAUUUUGUAAUUGUAGGCAUAAAAAGAACAAUAUGCAUCGUCUAUCAUGAACGUCAGAGCAAAAAUCUUCCUCCUACAUAUAAGGAAGAGUUUUCCUCUCACUCAUAGAUAUACUUAUACUUUCAUUCUUUAAGGUGGAAGAAUGUUUAAGUGCCCGUAUCAGUAGGCAAAUUGUAAUGCAAUAUUAUUACUUUUUGAUUACCUGUUAUUUUAAAUUUAAUGCUUACAAUUCAGGGCAAAGAUUAGAAAUAAGUCAAUAUUACAUACGUUUUAUUUUAUUUUUUCUGUUAUAUAUUAUAUUUUCCCUUAUAAAUUGCAAUAAAUAAUUAAUUUUCAAUUUUUAUUGCAUUUGAAAAAUCCCGCCCUUUUAGGGGCGCAUGCGUAAAUAAUUCAGGUUAGGUUAGGGAAACAUUUUUGAAGUCCAAUACUUUCAGUUCGCGCGCCGAAAAACGUGUUUAUUUUAUUAAUUAAUUAAUUACAAUAGUUAAAUAUAUUUCUAAGAGGAGUAAAAGUCUUAAGUGUUUUCGGUUUAAUAAAAGUAUGUUAUAUUUCACAUAUAAUAAUACUUGGGAUUAUCAAAGCAGAAAAAAGGUACUUUUAUAUGAUCGUUGGGAGUAUUAUUUCACUUUUUGAAUGCAAUAAGGAAAUUAGAGCGCACUGUCUAUAUUAUUGAGAAAAAUGAAAGGAAAAAAAAACGUGGUAACGAUUCUAAUUGAGGCAAUUUACAAGAGAUGAAGCAAAUUGAAAUGGAAGAAAUGGAAACAUUCAUAUUCUAAGAACGAAAGGGAAUUCUUUAGUCUUUAACAAGUGGAUUUAAAAGGCUAUAUAGAAGAUGAAAUAGAGAGAUGAAGGAGUCUUUUACGAUUCUAGAAUGAAUUCUAAAGACUGUGAAUGGAAUUUCCUUUUAGGAAACAAGGAAAGUUGAACAAUGAAAACUAUUGUUUUCUUUGCGAAACGAUUUUGAAAAAAUAAAGGGAUGAUUAAAAUUUAAAAAAAAAAAAAUUUUUACUGAAUGCGGAAGUUGAAAAAAAAACAAGAAGAGUAAGAUAAUUAUUAUUGAUAAAGUAAAUUUACUGGAGCAAGAAAAGCAUGAAUGAGGAAGUGAUUAAAGAAAAUAAGAAAGAAGAAAUCUAGUUUGAUGAUUGGAAAAAUAUACAUAACAGGAAUAAACUACUAUUUUGGUAUAUCAUCAUCAAAGGGGGGAAAAAAAGGAAGAAAGAAAAAGGUAAAAAAAAUCCGUACAUCGAUCGAUUCCUGUGAAAAACCGAGAAAAAUGUGAGUUUAAUAAUAAAAAAAGAAAGAAUAAGUAAAAAUCACCAGAAUAAAUAAUUAUUUUAAUUAUUAAAUUUAGUUUUUAUUUUGAUAAUGAUCAAUUGUUCUGUAUUUUCACUUCCAAACUAUCGUAAACAUAACCUAUAAUUUUUUUGCUUCUUUCACAGUGCGUUAUUUUAUACAACAAAAAAUUGAAUAUGAAUCACCAAACACACAAAAAAAAUAAUUAUUAUAGUAAUUAUUUCAUGAAAGGAAAGAAAACAAUUUCCACUUAUAUUUGCAAUAUAAAAUAAUUAUAUAUGCGUAUAAAAUUGAUGACAGAAUUUUUUUUAUAUCUUGUCGAGAGCGUGAUUUCUAAUAUCUACAUGAGGUGAAUUCAAUUUCAGUUCAAUGGAUAAUUAUCUGAACGGAUAUUUGCUUUCGCUUAACUCGAAUCGAGACACAAUAAUCUUGCAGAGUUCUAUUGUCCUCUAAUGACGUGAUCUAUCCUUAUACAAUCGCAUGUAUAUAGAUACGUGUACGUAUAGGAAAUGCAUCCUGUGAUGGAAUUUCUCUAUCACUCUCCAUUAAAUAUGACACUCGUUCCUCUUAUGUCACCAAAUGUGUCUCCUAUCGUACAUUAUCAUCUCUCUUUUCUUGCAAGUUUAUAAAAGUCAAUAUACCUAUAUCCAGAUGCAAGGUCAAUGUUCCUUUGCAAUUCUCGUAACACUUCAAUGACAAAUAUAAUUAUUAAAAAAUAAAAUAAUUAUUUUGACAAAUCACACGUACAGAAUAAAAAUAAACAAAAAUGAUUAUAGCAAUGAUUUUCUCUUACAUAGAAUAAUGGGAAAAUAUUUCAAAUGUGACGCGCCUCUGAAGAAAGGAAAGCUAAAAAAUUAUAGGUUAGGUUAACGUUCGACUAAAUUUCGUUUUUGUUUUUAAUUAUGUAAAAAAAUAAAAAUCAAUUUUAUUUAUUUUAGCUCCUAACAGGUAUUUUGAUGCCUGUGAAAUUACAACCACAACUUAAUCAAAAACAAUUUUCUUUUUUUUAAACGUUUGUUGGUCGUUUGAUAGUCAUUGAUUGUUUGAUACCCUACGUUUGAUGGAAAUAAUUAGAAACAAUAAACAAAAAUCAAAUAUUAUUGUGCUAAUUUCACGGUGCACUGAGACGCUUGCUUUUCACCGAACUGACAGUACGUCGAACAGACAAAAUGUCCUCAAACGAUUUAAGUCAACAAUCAAUUACCAUCAAACGAUUUAAUUCAACAAUCAAUGACCAUCAAAACGAUUUAAGCGAACAAUCAAUGACCAUCAAACUAUUUAAUUCAACAAUAAAUGACCCUCAAACGAUGUAAGUCAACAAUCAAUGACCAUCAAACGAUUUUUGACAUUUAUAAAUCACCAUCAAACGAUUUAAGUCAACAAUCAAUGAUUCUCAAACGAUUUAAGUCAACAAUCAAUGAUCCUCAAACGAUUUAAGUCAACAAUCAAUGACCAUCAAAACGAUUUAAGUCAACAAUCAAUGACCAUCAAACUAUUUAAGUCAGCAAUCAAGGAACAUCAAACGAUGUAAGUCAACAAUCAAUGACCAUCAAACGAUGUAAGUCAACAAUCAAUGACCCUCAAACGAUUUAAGUCAACAAUCAAUGACCAUCAAACGAUUUCUGCCAAUAAUCAAUUACCAUCAAUCGUCUAACAAUGUAUUGGAAUAAAAAAAAUUAAAAAUUGGUUAAAUUUUUUAAAUCUAGCAACAUCAUUGUUGAUUAAUUAAUCCUUGUGGGAUAAUUUGUAUUAAUAAU